Molecule: non-coding RNA, 442 nt
Organism: Peromyscus maniculatus bairdii (prairie deer mouse)
Lineage: Eukaryota; Metazoa; Chordata; Mammalia; Rodentia; Cricetidae
Source: RefSeq, a predicted model, not a curated record
AGAGGGCAGGUGGAAUGGAAGAGACCACACAAGCCAUCUGGGCCAUAGGUGUCCAAAAGAAGGUGAAGGUUAGGAAUGUCUAGGCACACCUGAGAGCUUGGGAAAAGCAGACAAUGAAGGUGUUUCAGAGAUAGCAUCAAAAAUCAAGCUGUCCAUUUGUUGGUACUCACAUACCAUGCUGGGGAUUGAACCCAAGGAGUGACACAUGCUAUGCAAGUAUUCUACAGUCUGAGCCACAUAUCCAGCCACUUAGUAGGUUCUCACAUUAAGAGACUCAUCUUGCCUCUCCCAUGAUAACGCUAUGUCGUCUUCCCUUUCCUCUCCCAUGAUAACACUAUGCUUAAUUAUGUCUACAUCUUUUCAACUAAUUCUUUAAAUCCUACUGAUAAAGAUUUUAUUUACUUUCUGUCUCCAAUUUACAUUAAAGUUCAAAGUCUGAAUA